This 1384-nucleotide ribosomal RNA is filed under the name Chlorociboria aeruginascens subsp. australis. Its description in RNAcentral is "SSU rRNA". It matches the Rfam family "Eukaryotic small subunit ribosomal RNA", at positions 65 to 1113 of the family's 1831-position model. Lineage: Eukaryota; Fungi; Ascomycota; Leotiomycetes; Helotiales; Chlorociboriaceae. The record is from RNAcentral.
UGUAACAAUUAUACUGUGAAACUGCGAAUGGCUCAUUAAAUCAGUUAUCGUUUAUUUGAUAGUACCUUACUACUUGGAUAACCGUGGUAAUUCUAGAGCUAAUACAUGCUAAAAACCUCGACUUCGGAAGGGGUGUAUUUAUUAGAUAAAAAACCAAUGCCCUUUGGGGCUCCUUGGUGAUUCAUAAUAACUUAACGAAUCGCAGAGCCUUGUGCUGGCGAUGGUUCAUUCAAAUUUCUGCCCUAUCAACUUUCGAUGAUAAGGUAGUGGCUUAUCAUGGUGUCAACGGGUAACGGGGAAUUAGGGUUCUAUUCCGGAGAGGGAGCCUGAGAAACGGCUACCACAUCCAAGGAAGGCAGCAGGCGCGCAAAUUACCCAAUCCCGACUCGGGGAGGUAGUGACAAUAAAUACUGAUACAGGGCUCUUUUGGGUCUUGUAAUUGGAAUGAGUACAAUUUAAAUCCCUUAACGAGGAACAAUUGGAGGGCAAGUCUGGGGCCCGCAGCCGCGGUAAUUCCAGCUCCAAUAGCGUAUAUUAAAGUUGUUGCAGUUAAAAAGCUCGUAGUUGAACCUUGGGCCUGGCUGGCCGGUCCGCCUCACCGCGUGCACUGGUCCGGCCGGGUCUUUCCUUCUGGGGAGCCGCAUGCCCUUCACUGGGUGUGUCGGGGAACCAGGACUUUUACUUUGAAAAAAUUAGAGUGUUCAAAGCAGGCCUAUGCUCGAAUACAUUAGCAUGGAAUGAUAAAACAGGACGUUGCAGUUCUAUUUUGUUGGUUUCUAGAACCGCCGUAAUGAUUAAUAGGGAUAGUUGGGGGCAUCAAUAUUCAAUUGUCAGAGGUGAAAUUCUUGGAUUUAUUGAAGAUUAACUACUGCGAAAGCAUUUGCCAAAGAUGUUUUCAUUAAUCAGUGAACGAAAGUUAGGGGAUCGAAGACGAUUGUGGUUUCUGGUCGUCAAUAAUUAAAAGUUAAGCAAACUUUUUAUUACGCUAGACACCUCCUGCGAGGUAUAGCGAACACCAUCAAAUUGCAGGAACACCCUAAAGACGUCUACUACGAUACACCGGCUCGAAAGAGUGGUGCUCAAAACAGUUAAUUGUUUGAGGCGUAAAAAUGUAGCGUAUGAUGUUCUUCGGAGCAGAAAUGGGUAACCCGCAGCCAAGCCCUAAAAUAUAUCUCUCGAUAUAUCAAGGGUGCUGUCCACAGACUAAACGUUGGUGGGAGGUUGAUAGCAACCUUCUAAGAUAUAGUCGAGGCCUGGGUCCAAAGCCCGGGAAGUACCGCAGAUACCGUCGUAGUCUUAACCAUAAACUAUGCCGACUAGGGAUCGGGCGAUGUUAUUUUUUUGACUCGCUCGGCACCUUACGAGAAAUCAAAGUCUUUGGGUU